AGAGUUUGAUCCUGGCUCAGAACGAACGCUGGCGGCGUGCCUAACACAUGCAAGUCGAACGAGAAAGUUUCUUCGGAAACGAGUAAAGUGGCGCAAGGGUGAGUAACACGUGAAUAAUCUGCCCUCAAACCUGGGAUAACUUGACGAAAGUUAAGCUAAUACCGGAUAAGACCACGUCCUAUAUGGGACGCGGUAAAAGGAGUCUCAAACUCCAUUUGAGGAUGAGUUCGCGGACCAUUAGCUUGUUGGCGGGAUAACAGCCCACCAAGGCUACGAUGGUUAGCCGGCCUGAGAGGGCGAUCGGCCACACUGGAACUGAGACACGGUCCAGACUCCUACGGGAGGCAGCAGUGGGGAAUUUUGCGCAAUGGGCGAAAGCCUGACGCAGCAACGCCGCGUGAGGGAUGAAGGUUUUCGGAUCGUAAACCUCUGUCGAGUGGGAAGAAACAAAUGACGUACCAUAAAGAAGCUCCGCUAACU
RNAcentral lists this ribosomal RNA (480 nucleotides) under uncultured bacterium. Its description in RNAcentral is "bacterial SSU rRNA". It matches the Rfam family "Bacterial small subunit ribosomal RNA", at positions 8 to 502 of the family's 1533-position model. The record is from RNAcentral.